RNAcentral lists this ribosomal RNA (368 nucleotides) under Chaetodon xanthurus (pearlscale butterflyfish). RNAcentral's name for it is "partial 12S ribosomal RNA". It matches the Rfam family "Bacterial small subunit ribosomal RNA", at positions 803 to 1372 of the family's 1533-position model. The record is from RNAcentral. Lineage: Eukaryota; Metazoa; Chordata; Actinopteri; Chaetodontiformes; Chaetodontidae.
UAAACAUUGACAGUUAAUUACACCCACUGUCCGCCUGGGAACUACGAGCGCUAGCUUAAAACCCAAAGGACUUGGCGGUGCUUUAGACCCACCUAGAGGAGCCUGUUCUAGAACCGAUAAUCCCCGUUAAACCUCACCCUUCCUUGUUCUUUCCCGCCUAUAUACCACCGUCGUCAGCUUACCCUGUGAAGGCCCAAUAGUAAGCACAAUCGGCAAUGCCCAAAACGUCAGGUCGAGGUGUAGCGAAUGGAAGGGGAAGAAAUGGGCUACAUUUACUGAUACAGUAAAUACGGAUGAUUACCCUGCAACGAGUAUCUGAAGGAGGAUUUAGCAGUAAGCAAAAAGCAGAGUGUUUUGCUGAAAUUGGC